Molecule: ribosomal RNA, 506 nt
Filed under: uncultured bacterium
Lineage: Bacteria
Description: bacterial SSU rRNA
Rfam family: Bacterial small subunit ribosomal RNA
Source: RNAcentral
UAGUCCACGCCGUAAACGAUGGACACUAGCUGUUGGGAUUAAUCUCAGCGGCUAAGCGAAAGUGAUAAGUGUCCCACCUGGGGAGUACGAUCGCAAGAUUGAAACUCAAAGGAAUUGACGGGGGCCCGCACAAGCGGUGGAGCAUGUGGUUUAAUUCGAUGAUACGCGAGGAACCUUACCAGGGCUUAAAUGUAGUAUGACAGGACUAGAGAUAGUUUUUUCUUCGGACAUAUUACAAGGUGCUGCAUGGUUGUCGUCAGCUCGUGCCGUGAGGUGUCAGGUUAAGUCCUAUAACGAGCGCAACCCCUGCCGUUAGUUGCCAGCAUUUAAAGAUGGGGACUCUAGCGGGACUGCCGGUGCAAACCGAGAGGAAGGUGGGGAUGACGUCAAAUCAUCACGGCCCUUACGUCCUGGGCUACACACGUGCUACGAUGGUAGGGACAGAGGGUAGCGAAUCAGUGAUGUGGAGCUAAUCUCAAAAACCCUAUCCCAGUUCGGAUUGGAGU